Molecule: ribosomal RNA, 502 nt
Filed under: uncultured bacterium
Lineage: Bacteria
Description: partial 16S ribosomal RNA
Rfam family: Bacterial small subunit ribosomal RNA
Source: RNAcentral
AUUGAACGCUGGCGGCAGGCUUAACACAUGCAAGUCGAGCGGGGUGAUGGUGCUUGCACUAUCACUUAGCGGCGGACGGGUGAGUAAUGCUUAGGAAUCUGCCUAUUAGUGGGGGACAACAUCUCGAAAGGGAUGCUAAUACCGCAUACGUCCUACGGGAGAAAGCAGGGGAUCACUUGUGACCUUGCGCUAAUAGAUGAGCCUAAGUCGGAUUAGCUAGUUGGUGGGGUAAAGGCUCACCUAGGCGACGACCAGUGGCGGGUCUGAGAGGACGUCCGGCCACACUGGGACUGAGACACGGCCCAGACUCCUACGGGAGGCAGCAGUGGGGAAUUUUGGACAAUGGGCGCAAGCCUGAUCCAGCCAUGCCGCGUGCAGGAUGAAGGCCUUCGGGUUGUAAACUGCUUUUGUACGGAACGAAAAGGCUCUGGAUAAUACCUGGGGCUCAUGACGGUACCGUAAGAAUAAGCACCGGCUAACUACGUGCCAGCCGCCGCAGUAA